ACUAUGGAGACAUAGCUAAUUCCUCAUACGUCCUACAAAAUGAAAAUAUGUAGGAGAAAGAUUUAUCGCUCAAGGAGGGGGAUGCGUCCUAUCAGGUAGUUGGUGAGGUAACGGCUCACCAAGCCUAUGACGGGUAGCCGGUCUGAGAGGAUGUCCGGCCGCAAUGGAACUGAGAAACGGUCCAUACUCCUACGGGAGGCAGCAGUGGGGAAUAUUGGACAAUGGGCGAAAGCCUGAUCCAGCGAUUCUGCGUGAAGGAUGAAGCCUCGUGGGGUGUAAACUUCUUUUCUGGGAGAAGACGAAUGACGGUAUCUCAGGAAUAAGAGACGGCUAACUACGUGCCAGCAGCCGCGGUAAUA
This 359-nucleotide ribosomal RNA is filed under the name uncultured bacterium. Its description in RNAcentral is "bacterial SSU rRNA". It matches the Rfam family "Bacterial small subunit ribosomal RNA", at positions 146 to 525 of the family's 1533-position model. The record is from RNAcentral.